GGAUUCCCCUAGUAACUGCGAGUGAAGCGGGAAAAGCUCAAAUUUAAAAUCUGGCAGUCUCUGGCUGUCCGAGUUGUAAUCUAGAGAAGUAAUGCCCGUGCUGGACCGUGUAUAAGUCUCCUGGGAUGGGGCGUCAUAGAGGGUGAGAAUCCCGUCUUUGACACGGACUACCAGUGCAUUGUGGUAUGCUCUCAAAGAGUCGAGUUGUUUGGGAAUGCAGCUCAAAAUGGGUGGUAAAUUCCAUCUAAAGCUAAAUAUUGGCGAGAGACCGAUAGCGAACAAGUACCGUGAGGGAAAGAUGAAAAGAACUUUGGAAAGAGAGUUAAACAGUACGUGAAAUUGCUGAAAGGGAAACGCUUGAAGUCAGUCGCGUUGGCCGGGAAUCAGCCUUGCUUCUGCAUGGUGUACUUUCUGGUUGACGGGUCAGCAUCAAUUUUGACCGCUGGAAAAAGGCCUGGGGAAUGUGGCAGCUUCGGCUGUGUUAUAGCCCCUAGUUGCAUACAGUGGUUGGGAUUGAGGAACUCAGCACGCCGCAAGGCCGGGUUUCGACCACGUUCGUGCUUAGGAUGCUGGCAUAAUGGCUUUAAGCGACCCGUCUUGAAACACGGACCAAGGAGUCUAACAUGCCUGCGAGUAUUUGGGUGGAAAACUCAAGUGCGUAAUGAAAGUGAAAGUUGAGAUCCCUGUCGUGGGGAGCAUCGACGCCCGGACCAGAACUUUUGGGACGGAUCCGCGGUGGAGCAUGUAUGUUGGGACCCGAAAGAUGGUGAACUAUGCCUGAAUAGGGUGAAGCCAGAGGAAACUCUGGUGGAGGCUCGUAGCGAUUCUGACGUGCAAAUCGAUCGUCAAAUUUGGGUAUAGGGGCGAAAGACUAAUCGAAC
RNAcentral lists this ribosomal RNA (881 nucleotides) under Agaricus sp. RNAcentral's name for it is "eukaryotic LSU rRNA". It matches the Rfam family "Eukaryotic large subunit ribosomal RNA", at positions 72 to 940 of the family's 3401-position model. Lineage: Eukaryota; Fungi; Basidiomycota; Agaricomycetes; Agaricales; Agaricaceae. The record is from RNAcentral.